Molecule: long non-coding RNA, 10187 nt
Filed under: Triticum aestivum (bread wheat)
Lineage: Eukaryota; Viridiplantae; Streptophyta; Magnoliopsida; Poales; Poaceae
Description: long non-coding RNA (TAES_LNC000987)
Source: RNAcentral
CAUAUUCCUAUGCAGCUUGAUCUCGCCUGAAAUGGUAGAAUUCAAGUGUCCUAUUGCCACCUUGAUGACUGCCGAGGCGAGCAUGCCCCCGAGUGCCUAUUGACAUGGCUAGUGACUGUCGAGUUGGGCUGUGUGCUGAAUAGUAGAUUCGUCAUUGAAGCUCCGGCCCUUAUCAAUCUAACAAAGCAUUGGAAGCAAAAAUAAAAUAAAAUCGAAUCAGCAAGUGCAGAAUCAGUCAUGACCUGUUUUACAUAAUACAGAUAUCACAGACUUGCAAAAUCUUAGACAAAAGGGAGUUGCCCACCGAGAGCGGCGAUGUAGCGGACGAGCUCGCCUGCUCCCGCCACUUGUACCAAUCGAAUAAAGACAUGUUGGACUGGGCAUUGAAUGCGAGCGUAGAUGGCAGGAGCAGCAUGUGUAACCUGGAACAGUGGUAUACUUUGAGGGCGUCGUUUGAUGUGACGAUGCCGUCACGGCACUCCGUCCACAUGUUCCCACGGUACAGGAUGGGAGAACUUUUUUUUGACAGCAACAGGAUGGGAGAACUGGUGCAGAACGAUUGGGGACGUUCUAUCCCGUCACACAAAACGGUGAGUUUGCAAUCGAUAAGCAUAUAUGGCACCGCGGCUCCACCCCCACCCCACCUAACGCGUGUAUAGUAUAGAAAAAAAAGUAUCCCUUGGACGACCGCAAGAGGCAGCCAUGGCGACGGCGGAGGCGGGGGGCGAUGGCUUCGAGUUUCUGUCAGAUCCUGUUGACAGGUACCUUCCAUAUCUCCGUCUCGUGCAUCGUACUGCUGCCCGCUGUGACUCGCCGCGUGAACUUCAUACUCUGCUCCCUUCUUUGCCAUAGGUUCCCCCUGCCGGAUCUUGGCGGCGGCGAGUCCAUGCUCGACGCUGAACCCACCCGAACUCUGGUGUGCACAACCGCCUAGUCCACCAUUGGUGAUGUAGGCGAUGCGGCGCUGACAGUCCAAGUAGACCUAAACAACACUUGCGAGGGGCUGAGUUUGUCGGCGCUGAACUAUGAGGAAUCAACGGGCAAAGAUGAUCCUCAAGCCCCGGGCUGGACGUAGAGGUACAUGGCUUAUAUGAUGCUCUCGAUGUAUUAGUCGUUCAUUUAUCCCUUAAUUUUGAGUAGUCUGACAUAAAAUGUGUACUAAAGCAUAACAAUACACCAGCUGUUUCAUGCUGAAACAAGUUCCUAAUGUCUGCAAGAUUUCUUAAUUUUCUCUUGGAUGUUCAUAUUCAUACAAAAACAUAUUAUGCUCUUUGUGUAUAUGAUAUGUCUAGAAACUUCUGCACAAUCUGAGAGUGAUCCUUUAUGUUCUAGCAUCUUGAAUUUACUAUUAGCUGAUCAGAUUGUUCAGGUUUUGAAGUCUAUUGUUCUUAUCAGGUUUCUGUUGUAUGUAUCUGUCACGCCCCUAUCUGGAUCGAGGAGACCAGAGUAGGCAGAUGAGAGAAAGGGGAUGAGGAUGGCGUGAGGAAGGGGGUGAGUGAGAGAGAAACUGGGAGAGAUAUUUAGUUUACUCAAAUAACAGCCUGUCCAAUACAACGCUCACGCGGGGGUUAAGUACCCCUCGACCCAGCUGGCUCACGCACCGGCCACACACACACUUACAGCUGGCUCACGCACGCACUCACGCUUGGCACAGCCAACUGGCAGUCACGCGGUGGUGCCUUGCACUGUCGUGGUGACAUUCUCCCCUCCUUGAGAACGUACUUCUUCCUCAGUUGCGUCGUCUUCCCAGAUGCUUGCUUGCGGGUAACGCCGGCGGAGCACGUCGUAAUCCUCCCAGGUGAUCGUCAGAGGAACUGUGUCCCAGGCCACUUGCAGUUGAACCACAGGUGCGUUGCCCUUCUUCAUCAUUCUGCGGUCCAGUAUCUCCACUGGUAUGGUCUCCUUAGUGGACAGAUCAGUGGUGACCGGAAGUUUAGAGAACACCGGACUGUAGUUCGGGAUGAAAGGCUUCAACUGCGAGACGUGAAACACGGGGUGGAUUUUACUGCCAGCAGGGAGCUACAGUUUGUAUGCUGGAGGUCCAACUCUGGCGAUGACGGAGAAAGGGCCAAAGAACUUGAACGCCAGCUUCGGGCAGGGGCGGCUCGCCACAGACUUCUGUACAUAUGGUUGCAGUUUCAGAAGAACUUGCUCCCCGACCUGAAACGCCUGCUCUGUUCGAUUCAGGUCCGCGAACUUCUUGUGCUUGACUUGCGCGCGUGCCAGAUGUGCGCGCAGGUUUUCCUGAUGCAAGUACCAGUCCCACUGCUCCCGGUCCGGCAAGGCUGGUUGGGAUGCCGGCCAGGUGGCCAUGCUCCCCUCGUUGGCUUCGACCCCGUACAACACUUUGAAGGGAGAGCAACCCAGCGAGGACUGAAAGGAGGAAUUGUACCAGAAUUCAGCAGCGAGAAGCCAACGGCGCCAUUGCUUGGGAGUGUCGUGAACGGCACAACGCAAGUACAUCUCCGUGCACUGAUUGACACACUCACUUUGGCCAUCCGUCUGGGGGUGGUACGCUGUGGAGUAGAGGAGCUUGGUGCCUGCGCCGGCGAGCAGUUCGCGCCACAGCGCACUGGUGAAGAUCUUGUCGCGGUCGCUGACGAUGGAUUUGGGGAUGCCGUGGAGCUUGACGACGUUGUCCCAGAACACGCGCGCCACCUGUGUCGCCGUGAACGGGUGCCGCAAGGGCACGAAGUGAGCGAACUUGGUGAAGCGGUCAACAACCACCAUGAUUGUAUCGUAACCUUCGGACUUGGGCAGUCCUUCGACGAAGUCCAUGGUCAGCUCUUGCCAGGGUGCGGAGGGGAUCGGCAGAGGUGCCAGUUUGCCCGCGGGCUUGCGAAGAUCAUGCUUGGCUUGCUGGCAAACCUGGCACUGGCGCACGAAUUCGUCGACAUCUUGUUUCAGUCCCUUCCACUCAAAAACUUUCUUGACUCAGUGGUAGGUGGCCGUUGCUCCGGAGUGGCUGCCCACGGUGCUGUCGUGCAUCGCGCUGAUGAGCUUAGUGCGCAGAGCGAUGUUUGCGCCAAUCCACAGCCGGCCCUGACGCCGAAUGAGGCCCCGGUACAGCUCGUACUCGUCAUCAUCUGGGAUGUGCAGUGCAAGUUGUUGCAGCCGUUCUUGCGCGUCCGGAUCAGUGGCGUAGGAAUUGGCCACCUCCUGUAUCCACGCGGGCUGACACAUGGACAGAGCGUUGGCGCUGAAGUGGCUGCCCACGCGGGAGAGCGCGUCCGCAGCUCCAUUGUCGAUGCCGCGCUUGUACUGAAACUUGAACUGCAGCCCGACAAGCUUUGACAUUGCACGGCGCUGGACGUCAGUCACCAGUUGUUGAUCGCCCAGUGUGCACAAGCUCUUGUGGUCGGUGAGGAUGGUGAACGGCCCGCGCUGCAGGUAGGAGCGCCAUUUGUCCACCGCCAUCAUCACCGCCAGAAACUCCAUCUCGUACGUUGAGAGUUUCUGGUUCUUCACUCCCAGCGCUUUGCUGUAGUAGGCGACCAGGUGGCCUUCUUGCACCAGCACGGCGCCAAUGCCAGUGUCGCAGGCGUCCGUCUCGAUCGAGAACGGCUUGUCGAAGUCUAGGAGGGCGAGCACCGGCGUGGUCACCAUCGCCUGCUUGAGCGUGUCGAAGGCGCGCUGCGCGGAUUCGGGCCACUCGAAUCCUUUCUUGGUGAGCUGCAGUGUGAGGGGCUUGGCGAUGAUCCCAUAGUGCGGCACAAACUUACGGUAGUAGCCGGUGAGCCCCAGGAACGCGCGCAGCUCGGUGGCAUUGGUCGGAGUAGGCCACUGAGCCAUGGCUUCUGUCUUCUCAGAGUCAGUCGCCACGCCCUGCUUGGAGAUGACGUGGCCGAGGUAAUCGAUGUGAUCUUGCGUGAAUGAACACUUCGACAUAUUGGCGUAUAACUGGUGCUCGCGGAGCAGGCUCAGCACGAGGCGAAGAUGCUCCAAGUACUCUUCCCAGGUCUCACUGAAAAUCGGAAUGUCGUCAAGAAAAAUGAUGACAAACUUACGUGUAUACUUGGCGAAGAUCGCGUUCAUCAAGCAUUGAAAGGUUGCAGGCGCAUUUGUCAGGCCGAACGGCAUCAUGCGGAACUGAAAAUGCCCGUGGUGGGUUUUGAAUGCAGUCUUGUGUUCGUCCUCUUCACGCAUGCGGAUUUGGUGAUAGCCUGCCCGCAGAUCGAGCUUGGAGAAGAAAGCAGCGCCGGCUAGUUCAUCGAGGAGCUCGUCCACGAUCGGCAACAGAAACUUGUUCUUCACUGUGAUGUCGUUGAGGCGUCUGUAAUCGACACAGAACCGCCAUGUCCCGUCCUUUUUCUUCACCAGCAGCACCGGAGCAGCAUAUGGGCUGACCGAGUGUGUGAUCACGCCGGCAUCGAGCAUUUCUUUCACUUGACGCUUGAUUUCGUCUUUCUGGAGUGGCGAGUAACGGUACGGUCGUGUGUUUGUAGGUUGAGCUCCUUCUUCCAAAGUGACUGCGUGAUCGUACUGCCUAUGAGGAGGCAGACCGGUUGGUGUGGCGAAGACAUCAGCAAACUCCUCCAAUAAAUCGCUGAUCAGCGUAUGCGAUGGAAUGCGCGACUUUGGUCUGGGAGGUUGCAUUUCCACCAUGGCCAUAGCCCAGAUAUCAUUGCCAGCUAUCAGUUUGCAGAGCUCGGCCGGCUGAACGGCCGCGAGCAUUGGUGUCGUCUUGGGUCGAACACCUUGCAGGGUGACCAACUCGCCGUCAUGGAGGAUGAGAUGAACUUCUCUUGCCAGUGACAGGUCAUCGGACUGUUUUUCUCCAACCAAUCCAUGCCAAGGAUGUCGUGGUAGGCGCCGGUGUCGAGCUCGUACAUCGGCGUCGAGAAGGUGUGGCCCUGCAUCCACCACUUGAGCUCAGGAACUUGGCGAGAGCAGGUGAGGCGAUCGCCGUUCGCCACACGCACGUCCAGGGUAGCGAUUUCUUGUGUCUCUGCGCCGACACGCUCGACGAAGGAUUUGUUGACGAAGCUGUGCGUGCUUCCGGAGUCUAGCAGUAGCAGCAUCACCUGGUUGCCCACCAGUGCGUGGAGACGAAUGGUGCUGUGCGCCUCUGAGCCGUCCAGCGCGUGCGCAGAGAUGGUGCAGCACUCCGGAGGAGGGAUGGCAGGCUCUGGAGCGUCGAGCAAGUCGAGAGCGUGCAAGGCGUCAUCAGUGAGCACCUCGCCAUACGCGCCGACCUAAAUCGUGAGCAGCUGCGCCCGCGGAUUGCAGCAGUGCUCACGGCUGUAUCGAUCGCCGCACUUGAAGCAGAGCCCGUUGGCGCGGCGAAAUUCCUUGAGUUGACGCUCGCGCGCAUAGUCGUCGGGCUGUUGGCGUGGCGCAGCGCCCGGGCGCGCUGGUGGCGCUGGAGGUGGGCGGCCUUGGGGUUGUGGUCGCGGCCGCGCUCGUGGCGUGUUCAGCUCCUCCUCUUGGAUGCGGGCAAGGAUCGACGCGCGCGUGAUGCUGGUGGGGGCUUGGAGACGCACGGCCGCGCGCAGUUCGUCCUUGAGGCCCAGCAAGAACUGCGUGAUGAAAAACUUGGUGGAGAGCGAUGGGUCGAGCGCCAGGAGGUGGUACAUGUGGCUGUCGAACUCCUGGCGGUAUUCGCUGACGGUGCCGCUCUGCCAGAGUUGGAGAAGCUUGUGCAUCUCCAGCUCGAACUCGUCGGCGCCGAAUUCCUCGAUGAUCGCUCGCAGAACGCCUCCCAGCCCAGGCCAGCAUGUGUUUGACGAAAUGCCUGCAGCCAGUGUGCGGCCUGGCCCUCGAUGUACAUCGUCGCCAUGGUCACCCAGCUUGAUGGCGGCACGCGGUAGAGGUCGAAGUAGGCGCGGCAGCGAUCCAGCCAGAGGUACGGCGCCGUGCCGUCGAAGCGCGGAAGAUCGUGCUUGGGCGGCUUGAUGUAGUUGUCGUGGUGUCGGUGGAGUUGUGGCUCGUUCUGGAGCGGCGCCUGAAGCAGAGGCGGCCGCUGAUCUGCGAGGCGUGGGGACGGUGGCGGUCCCUAUUGUUGUUGGUGCACGGGUGGAGGGCGCAGAGGAGGCGGCGGGGGUGGAGGUGGUGACAGGUUGAGGACGGCGCCCGGUCCCGAUCCGCGCGGCGACGGCGAUCUCUCGAGCGCCUUGCGAGUCUCGUCAACGUCGGCCUGGGUGAGAUCCACCUGCUUGGACAGCGCCCGCAGAUCUUGCGCCACCUGCGCGCUGAAGGCGGCCUGCACCUCGAGUCGCUUUUCGUUGUAGGCCUUCUGCUCGUCGAGGCGCGAGAGAACGGUCUCCAUGAGCGCCUUGAGCGUGCUGGUGUUGUCGUCCAUGGCAGACAACAGCUGUCGCGUCUGAACCGAUGGUUUGGACGGCGUCGUUGCUCCGCUCCGAGCCGAUCCAACCCCGCCGGGGAUUUUGGGCGAUUUGCCGGAGCAGAUCGCACACCCGGCGGUGGAUGUUACAGAUCAAGGCCAAGAGGUUUGUGGAGGCAGCGGAGAAAAAAUUUCGGCAGGAUUCGGUGGCUCUGAUUACCAAAAUGUCACGCCCCGAUCUAGAUCGGGGAGACCAGAUUAGGCAGAUGAGAGAAAGGGGAUGAGGAUGGCGUGAGGAAGGGGGUGAGCGAGAGAGAAACUGGGAGAGAUAUUUAGUUUACUCAAAUAACAGCCUGUCCAAUACAACGCUCACGCGGGGGUUAAGUACCCCUCGACCCAGCUGGCUCACGCACUGGCCACACACACACUUACAGCUGGCUCACGCACGCACUCACGCUUGGCACAGCCAACUGGCAGUCACGCGGUGGUGCCUUGCACUGCCGUGGUGACAGUAUCUCUGCUCUCUACUUUGUUUCGCUUCCAAUAAGUAGUAAGAAGUAUACAUUUUUUUCUUCUGAUUUUGCAUAGUGGUAAUUAUGUACGAUUUUCAAUAUAUGCAUGAUUCUUUCUCUAGAUCAGAUUGUUCAGGUUUUCCAGUCUAUUAUUCUUAUUAGAUUUCUGUUGUAUGUGUCUCUGCUCUCAACUCUGUUUUGCUUCCAACAAGUAGCAAGUACUAUACUUUUUUUUUAUGAUUUUGCACAGUGGUAAUUAUGUAUGAUUCUCAAUAUAUGCAUGAUUCUUUAUCUGGAUUUUUUCCUCUUUUACUUGAUACUUUUUUGAAUGGUUUUACAUUCAUUAUGUGAAGGAAAAAGUAAAAGGCUGCAUAAUGUUUGCAAAUUAUCUAUCCUAAUGUGCAAAUGAUGGAAAUAGAUUCCCGACAUGACCCAUCACCUUCAUGUUUUGUCUCUUAUUUCUUUUACAUAAUUAUUCUUCAGUUUUCAGUAAUGACUGAUUGCCACUCAAGUUUCCAUGCUCAACUCCUUGGUAGAGUGUAUUCCCUCGAAAGAUAGAAAAUUAGUGUUGUGAUUUUUGUGCCAGUUUAUUUGGCGUCUUUAGUUGGCUCAUGCUUUUAAUGAGAAUUUCAUAGGUUUUUUCUCUGUUCUUUAAAGAAUUUUUAGUGGUUCACUUAGUAGGAAUCAUGUUUUACACUGUCUUCCCUGUAGUUGUACAGUGCAAAGAUUAGUCAGAAAUGGUACUUGUAUCAGCCCUAAUCUAAUUGUGUUUCACUUUUCUUACUAACAACUCCCGUCUGCAACCGUCAGAGAAUACUGUGUCAUCAACCGACGUGGCCGCGCCGAGGACUCCUUCCCUCGCCUCCUCCAGGAACUGCCCCAUCAGCGGUGGCAAAAACUGCUCCUUGAACUUGGAUGGACCGCCCGCCCAGCUGCACUGUGUUCUGCGCCACUUAGUUCCUGGCCAAUCCUGAAGGCAUCACAAGACAUUCCGGAAUCUGGUUAGAAUACUUAUUGCUUUAGUGAAUCUGAUAGCAAGAUAUACAUAGUUGCUGUCAAAUGUCAAUGUAUAUUUCCUUUGGUCUUAUUUCUAUGUAUAUAGAAGUUCAUGUUGCUUCUUCGCUCAAUAGCUGAUGGUUGGCUCUCCUAUCUUAUUGUCUAGCAUACUUUGACCUGUGAAUUAUGUAUAUAGAAGUUCAUGCUGCUUCUUAGCUCAGUAGCUGAUGGCAGGCUCUUUUUAAUAGGGAGGCUACUGAGAAUUAUGAAGAUAGGUGUUCAAAAAUGGCAAGUUUUUGUGGACACACAUGUCUUUGUAACCUUAGAGCCUGCCGUGUAACAUAUUAUUAAUGCAUCCUAUAGAUGCAGACCUCCCCAGUAAUGAAAAUGAACACACCACUAGAGUUACACGCUAGCGAUAUAUACACUUGAGCGAUGUUUGAGAAAUUUGGCGAGGUCCUGUAUGAAGCAGGGCAGUACUCAAAACCUAUUUUUUCUGACGGUACCAUCCAGAGAAACAUGACAAGUGGUACAGGGUUUUGUACAAAGUUGAAGUUGUUGAGCAGGUCAAGGAACUCGCAUGUUUUGGAGCACACAUGAUUGCUGUUCUACCACACGGUUAUGGUAACAAUACUAAGUGUGAUGAUCAAGUCUUUUGUUUCAAAGUCCCAUUUUUUGAACAACAAAAUUGACCAUACCAACCUUUCUCUAAUGCAGGUCCUUGAUUUCCCCGGUAUAGACCAGAUACCAGUAAAGCACAUUGGGAAACAUUGGACAAAGGACACAAGAGUUGUACUGCCAGAGCACCUGGCUCAUCUUUAGAAGGAUAAAAUUUCAGUGAACUCAAUAACAUUCAGAUGCUCAAACCUAUAGACCCAUGCCCUUGAAGUUAUAAGACUGGGAGAUGCAAACACAAGUGCAUAUGAGUGUGCAAUGGAUCUCCUGAAGAAAGCAGUGGAUAAGAUGACACUUAUACCCACUGUGCAGGAUGGAAUGGGGUUGGAAGACAGAAUUCAGUCAAACAAGGGGAAGAAUAAAGAGCUGACCGCAAUGUGUGCACCUCCCAGCGGAUGUGCAAGCGACACCGAAGGUAGUGCAAUUGGUAAUUUCGUGGGUCUAAAAAGGCUCCAGAACGAAAACGUAAGGCAGUUCGACCAACCAACAGCAGGGACAAGCCUACAUAUGAUGAUCGCGGUGCAAAUAGCAAAAAGUACAAAAAGGCAGCAAAUGCACAAGCUGCCGACCGGUGCGGUACAAGCAAGCGCACUCGCUUUGUAGUAUAUGUCGUGAGCCAGAUUACAAGAGCACCAACUGUCCACAGAGAGGUGAUCUUCCUCAAAAGGAAAGAAAAGAAGCUAAGUGCUGAAACGGUUGUGCUGCAUGUUGUUGAAAAUGCUACUUAAAAAGGAGAUGUGCGGGUCACCUAAUCAUUCAGCAUUUUUAUUUGUGUGUUGUUGAUGGCUCCUUGGCUGUUUGCCGGAACAUUGUGUUAAGUCUAAUAAUAGCUCUUAACAAGCAUUGUGUGCUCUUAUCUUCAGUAUGUCUGGUUUGUAUGCAUGUUUAUCAUAAUCUGUGAAAAUUCAGUGACAUAUCAUUUGGGGUGUGCAUGUUCCCAGAGGUUUCAGUAUUUUUUAAUUGCAAGCCAAUUUGGUCUAAUUGCAGUUGAAAGCAAAAAUUCAGUUGGUUUUCAAUGUUGCCUUCUUGCAAAUUUGCUUUCCAUCAGGUUCCCCAUAUACAGGUGAAACAUGGUGACAAUCAUUGAGGCGACUACGAUCAGCAAACUCGCAGCUCCGCCGACGGCGACAACUGGUCUGAGCCAGGAAGCUACGCCAAAUUGCUUUGGAGAGACUGUGCAGCCUUGACGGAGAGAGGUGGAGUUAAAUUCAGUAAAUUUUUUUUUUGCAUGGUUAGUUAUAUUUAGUUGGUGGGCCGACCCAGCGGACUUCCAUCCACUUCGGCGUUAUCGGCACUGGCAGAGAACCAGAACGCCGUCACGUCCCGUCGUCACGCCUUGUACAAACGUCGGCUUCGUCCAUCCGUUAUACACAUUAAAUAAGCGGCUGUACAUGUCUUGAAAUACAGCAUGCGUCCAGCAUCCCAACGCGAAGCAACGCCUCACGAUUCCGUGAGUAGGCGAGCCCGUCGGUUGCCCACCUUCUCCAUUAAGCAUAAGCAUAACUAAGCAACAUUCAGAAUUUAGUUACAUGGCCACUGUGGAAAGCUCAUGUGCUUCGUCAGAUACUUUUUCAGUUUCCAACUAGUAAUCAGAACUGAAGAGCAAUGGAAGCCGUGAACUUAUACAAGGAAAAAGGUAGCGUAAGACUGUAAGAGAUAUGAACCUGUAGACGGUGCUGCGCCGGGCUCUCCACAGAUCCGGCCUGGAUUACGCCAGCAGC